CCUACGGGGGGCAGCAGUGGGGAAUAUUGGACAAUGGGCGCAAGCCUGAUCCAGCCAUGCCGCGUGAGUGAUGAAGGCCCUAGGGUUGUAAAGCUCUUUCAGUCGUGAAGAUAAUGACAUUAGCGACAGAAGAAGCCCCGGCUAACUUCGUGCCAGCAGCCGCGGUAAUACGGAGGGUGCAAGCGUUAUUCGGAAUCAUUGGGCGUAAAGCGCGCGCAGGCGGCCAUGCAAGUCUGACGUGAAAUCCCGGGGCUCAACCUCGGAAUAGCAUUUGAAACUGGCAGACUAGAGUACUGUAGAGGGGGGUAGAAUUUCAGGUGUAGCGGUGAAAUGCGUAGAGAUCUGAAGGAAUACCGGUGGCGAAGGCGGCCCCCUGGACAGAUACUGACACUCAGAUGCGAAAGCGUGGGGAGCAAACAGGAUUAGAUACCCCUGUAGUC
Molecule: ribosomal RNA, 440 nt
Filed under: uncultured Vibrio sp.
Lineage: Bacteria; Pseudomonadati; Pseudomonadota; Gammaproteobacteria; Vibrionales; Vibrionaceae
Description: bacterial SSU rRNA
Rfam family: Bacterial small subunit ribosomal RNA
Source: RNAcentral